RNAcentral lists this long non-coding RNA (269 nucleotides) under Elaeis guineensis (African oil palm). Its description in RNAcentral is "long non-coding RNA (EGUI_LNC002535)". The record is from RNAcentral. Lineage: Eukaryota; Viridiplantae; Streptophyta; Magnoliopsida; Arecales; Arecaceae.
AGGUCUCUCGAUCCUCACCUUUACAAAAUACAAAGGAAUCAACACCAAGCUCGCAAAGUAAAACUAAUUAACAGCAAAACAUAGUCAGAAAUUAAAAUAGAGAAUCUUUUCUCAACCUAAAUGUACAAAACAUAAUAUUUGAUUAAACGAACAAUAACAUGAUCAUAUAAUUUUUGUUAUUCUAUUGUUAUUAUUUUUCGUUUUUGUUUCAUGGUAGUCAUUCUCUUACUUUGGAAGACUCAAUGCACCGCUGAACUCUAUGCCACCCG